This is a long non-coding RNA of Lucilia cuprina (Australian sheep blowfly), 519 nucleotides long. RefSeq lists it as uncharacterized. The record is from RefSeq and is a predicted model, not a curated record. NCBI's taxonomy places the organism in Eukaryota, Metazoa, Arthropoda, Insecta, Diptera, Calliphoridae. The transcript is spliced from 2 exons.
CAGCAGUUGCAUUUUUAUUAAUAUAGGAAGAAAAUUGUCAACGAAUUAAUCUGAAAAUUUUAAGGGAUUGGAACUGCCAGAAUCUCUAUUCAUUGGACAAUACCGUCUGAAUAAAGAAGCAUUCGUAAUUUUGUUGGACAUUGUAAAAGAACAUUUGUUACCAUCAACCAUUCCCCGCGUGAUUCAACUGGCUGCAAUAUUGCGAUUUUUAGCAGAAGGGUCUUACCAAAUGUCAGUUGGAAAAGAUUCCACCAUAAGUCUACUCACAUAAAAAUUAUAAAACCCACGAUUUAUUCAUAUAACUUACAUUUUCCAACAACAUUCCACAAACUAACAAAAAAGAAAACUGCAUAUCUAUAAUCAGUCAGCUGAUCGGAUUAUUUCUAGGGUUCUAUAACUCGACUUUCGAAUAAUCGAACAAUCGACUUUUUGUCGAAAAAAGUCGAAGUCGACAAUUUUGUUCCAAAAAAGUCGAUAACUCGACUAUCGUCUAUGAAAAAAGUCGAAAAGUCGACUUUG